Long non-coding RNA from Dermochelys coriacea (leatherback sea turtle), 5264 nucleotides. RefSeq lists it as uncharacterized. The record is from RefSeq and is a predicted model, not a curated record. Lineage: Eukaryota; Metazoa; Chordata; Testudines; Dermochelyidae. The transcript has 3 exons.
UUGUGAAGCUUGGUUGAUGCGGGGUGUAGUGGGGUCGGGGCGCGGGGCCUUGCCCUACUCUGCCCAUCCAGCACUCUUGUCAGGGAGCAGGGUUGGGGGCUUGCCCGCUCCCCAGCUGGAAUGCCAGUGGGCAGAGCGGGACAAGCCCCCAUGCCCUGACCCUACUCCCUGGCAGGAGCAAUGAGUGGAGCGGGGCAAGCCAAACAACUUUAUAACAGAUCGUUGCAUGACUUUAAAUGAGUACGUUCUCUAAUAAAUCAGCAAUCUAAUAACAAAACAAUGUUAACUGGGAUGACUUUAAGUGAGGAGUUUCUGUAUUUAAUCAAAUCACCUCUCAAACUUUUUUGAUAAACAGCUUGAGCUUACACUACCUAUGCCAAUGGGAGGGGUUCUCCUGUCAUGAUAGGUAAUCCACCUCCCCGAGAGGCAAUAGCUUAUGGAAGAAUUCUUCCGUCGACCUAGCACUGUCUACACAGGGUCUUAUGUUGGCUUAGCUACGCCGCUCCAGGAUGUGGAUUUUUUUUAAGCCCCUGAGUGAUGUAGUUAACCUAAUUUUCUGAUGUAGACCAGGCCUUGGUGUCUCACUGUAAGGUAUUUUCCCCAGCCCUGAAAUCAUUUUUGUGGCUCUCUGCUGCACCCUCUCCAGUUUUUCAACGUCCUUUUUUAAAAUGUGGACACCAGAACUGAGCUCAGGGUUCCAGUCUUUCUCACCAAUACUAUGUACCGAGAUGAAAAUCGCCUCCAUAUGGCUACUCACCCUCUUUGUGUGUGCAAGGGUCUUAUCUGCCCUUUGUGGCAUGGCAUUGCACUGGGCACUCACAUUGAGUUCCUUGUCCCCUGUGUCCCUUAAAUCCUUUUCAGAGUCGCUGCUUUCUAGGUUACGCCCCCGGCCCCCAUUCUGUGGGCAUGGCCUGUGUUCCUUGUUCCUAGAUGUACAACUUUGCUUUUGGCUGUAUUAAAAUACAUUUGUUUGAAUUGCCCCAGCUUGCCAAGCACUUCAUAUCCCUCUGUCGUCUUCAUUAGUACAGUCCACCAAUAGAAAGCUGCAGUUUCAAUGCUUAAGCCUGGAAAGGUUCAGUCCUCCAGCCUCUACUAGGUGGAUUCUGCAGACAGACAUUCUUGAGGAAGCCACGUGGUUUGAUGCUGGCAGGUUCCAACAGGAAGAAACAUCCUUGAAGGAAAACGCAGAGGCUGGGCUGGAGCAUGGAUAGUAGGGCACUGGUCCUAGUUGCGGACCAGUUGUAGGCACUGGAAUUACAGCCAAAGCUUUAGAGACAAGGCUGAGAAACCAAAUUGGAUAAGGGCAUGGGGGGAGGGGGAGGCAGGCUGAGACUGCAGAUGAGGUUGAUGUGGAGGAGAAAGAAUGUGACAAUGAAGACUAGAAAGACUAGGGGGUCAUACACAUCACAGCUUGUGUUGGCUGAUCUCAUUGCACCCACCAGGGGACAUGCGCACGCAACCCUCCAUUCCUGCCUCCCUGGGUCCCACCCUCCAUCCCCCCUCUGCUGUAGGGACUCUCUCUUCCUCCCUCAUGCCUGGGGCUGUCUCCCCAUUCUCCCUUCCCCUGCCAUGGCAGAGUCUCGCUGUGCCCUCCACUCUUCUCACUGUCACAUGCCAGGGUCCCCCAAUCGCCCCUUGCCAGGGGUUCUGUGUGCCCCCUAUUCCCCCUUCCUCCCAUAAGUCAUCCAUUCUCCUCCCCCAUGUGCCAAAGACUGUGUGCACCCAUACCAGGGUCCCUCAAUUUCCCCUUCCCUCCUCCUCUCUCCCACCCCCGGCCUGCCAGGGGUAGGGCACAUGUCUCCCUUCUCUUUAAGAGAUCAGACACUCAGCGUGUCCAUGUAUAAUAACUCUUGGGAGGCUGGACAGAACUGAGAGUGGGGUGGGGUGGGGCUAAUUUUUAUGCUGGAAGGCAGUAAAGGGUGCCAUCAACUGCUCUUUAAUCUAUAGACAAUUGCAGAGCUGUUUGAAGCUCUGACCAUGUUAAACAGAAGCCGAGGUGCCGUGUACCCCAUUUUCCCCUUUCCAUUUUCAGAUUUCCUCCCAAAUCAAUAGGGGUCUGCCCACUGAUGCCUAGAACAUUCCCUGAAAUUCUGGAAUUGAUGGAGUUAAGUGUUUGAAAAGUGAUGGCAUGACAGACGGGCCACAAGUUGUGCAUAAGGCCUUACAAGCUUGGCCAGCUAAGAGCCGAAGGGGAAAGUGAAGCUAUACAGCCCUGCAAGAGCUAGUCUGACCUUGCCAGAAUAGAGGUGGACAGAGAGAGGCCCAAGUGGGGGCAGGGGUGGCGGUGGUAAGUAGCCAAACCGAAGAGGCAGUCACAGAACAGCGGAGCCACUGUCAGUGAUCCUAAGCGGCGCCUCCUGCAUGGAUGGGGAAGCUGACCUGAGAGAUCUGACGUAGAUAAAGAACAGCAUAAAAUCUGGCCUCCUGGGAGCCUGGCUAGAUGUGAUGAGAAGAGCAGAGUGUACCGGAGACGCUUGCACUAUCCGUCUCUGCAAGGACAAGUGAUAAGACAGCUUGGAGCAGGGAGGUGCCAGUAUCCCCAUGGAAGAUCAAUCUUCUCAAGGGAGCGUGUUUCUGGCCAUUGUGUCUGUACGAGCAAUGAGCUGAAUGACCCCAAACCUCUGUGCUUCCCCAAGGGCACCCUCCUCCUCCAGCCUCCUGGGGCACCAGACACUAAAACGCCAAGCAAGGCACAACUUUCUGAAAAGCUCUUGCAGGUCACAAUUACCAACACAAUGUGGCCUGGUUUUGUUUUGGGAGAAGUUUGGACCAUGUCUGUUCACAUCUCGCUUGCUGUACAACUUGUCCUCACGAGGGUUUUUGGAUUGUUUGCUUUGCUCUUUAAACUAAUCAGUUACAUAACGUAGUACCACAGAAGUGCUUCUGAUUGGGGUGGAGAAGUGUCUAACCAUUGUUGCAAUCGGAACAGGACGUGUUUGGAGGAGAACAAAGAAUGGAACAUGCCUUCAGCGAGUGGCAUUUAAGUUAGGCAAGCAGAAAGGAGACUCAUGAUGUUCUGUACAAAAUAACCAUUUGCUUCAUAAGUGGGGAAAUACCUCAGGGCUUGGAGUUCUGCAGAGAUUCACUCCUGACCUUAGUCCUGCUGAAGAUGAUGCACUGAACCCGGUGCAGUUUACCCUCUCUCUGCAUCUGUUGGAUGGGAUCAUAAAUGAAAGGUCCUGUCUGCUCUCUAAGGACAGAAAAGAUGCCGUAUUGCUUCUUGUAGGUCAGGGUUCGACCUAGUAUCUUUGGCUAAAUCGUCCCCCCACAGUACUGUCUGUAUUAUCAAUGUAUGCAACCUGCAUCUCGUAGUUCAUUGCUCCUCCCUUACUCCACCCUCAUCCCCUGCCAAAGUCAGAGGCACUGAAUGCCAGAAGGCUGUUACUUCUCUGAACUGCACUAGUGUUUGUGUAGGAGUGGAUGUUCUGGGCCACAUGCAGAGGUGAUGUGUACCAGGGAGGGGGAGAGAAAUCAUCUAAGAUCAAGCUGCUCUAAUGUCCCAUUUUCAUUUCACAGACAGCAGGACUGGGCCCUUGGUUUGCAGAGACCUUAAUGGGGGGUUUCCAUAUUAUAAAGUAAACAGAAGUUCAAACUAGCACCUUGAGAAUCCACCUAGCACACAAGCCUCAUCCAUGUGCACCCAGUGCGUUCAGUGUACACAGACUUGGAUCAGUGUGUGCAUCACGCGACUGGUCCACCUUGCAACGAGCAAUACACACUGACCUCCUGUGUGUGCACCAAGAGGCUGUCACAUCGGUGACUCCUCCCCAGGCACCAAGAUUUACAGUCAACCUCUCCAUGAGCUUUGAGAAAAGCUACAGCAGCCACCGAGUGACCUCUCAGGGCCCCAAGAUUCACCACUCCAGCCAGCGGCCUCUACCUGCACCUUCCACACGUAUCUGGCUUGGCUCGUUUAUGCAGCCAGGAUGUGGGUGAGCGCAUUCUCCUGCUUCUCUAUCAUGAAAAUGUCUCCAAUUUGGGAACUAGCCAGUGGGAGGAGUCACUCCCAAAAUUCUGAGACCAAGUCAUUGCUCCAUCGAUGGGCUGCUGCUUGGAAAUCAGCUAUUCCAUGUGUCACUCACCAGUGUGGCCUCAUUAAUAUUCUGCAGUUAUUACACUCAUAUUUAAAAUGGCUAUAGCCCAUUUAACUCAAAAGAUCCCAGCAUGCCUGACAAGCCACCUAGAGCAGUGGUGCGUAAAACUUUAACACUGAGGGUUGAAAUGGCAACUUGUCAGGAGUCUUAGUGUCACAACUCUGAAAUAUAUUUAUAUACAUUUGCAUGAUUUUAUGUCUAGUCACAUUCCCCCUUGAGGCAUUUAGAAUAAAGGAGCUCAAUCUGUUUAGCUUAACCUUCUCUUUGUUAAGGGGUGACUUGAUCAGUCUGUAAUUAUCUACAUGGGGAACAGAUAUUUGAUAAUAGGUUCUUCAAACUAGCAGAUAAAGAUAUACCAAGAUCGGGUGGCUGGAGGUGGAAGCCAGACAAAUUCAGCCUGCAAAUAAGAUGCACAUCUUUAUGUGAGGGUAAUUAGCCAUUGGAACAACUCACCAAGAGCUGGGGUGGAUUCUCCAUCCUGGGCAAUUUUAAAAUCAAGACUCGUUUUUUUUUCCCCUAAAUGAUCUGUUCUAGCUCAAAUAAACAAUUGAGGAAAAUCCUUUGGCCUCUGUUUUAGAGGAGAUCAGACUAGAUGAUCCUAAUGGUCUCUUCUGACCACCUAAGCCAUAAAUCUAGAUUUUAAGGCCAGAAACGAUCACACUGAUCAUUUAGUCUGACCUGCACCACACAGGCCAGAGAAUUCCAUCCAACCAUAGGAGUCAGAAGAGAUGAGUGUAGCAAGGAAAAACAGCUGAUAGGAGCUGAUGUUCAAGUAGUCCCCACCCAGCUUUAAACUCACCGGCUCUUCCAGCUCAUCACUAUACAAGGUUUUCUACUGGGCCUCGGAGGUGCUUGGGGCCUCUGCCUGGCAACCUCCACUCCUGCUGAGCUCAAUGGAAGGUGUAGGUAGCCAGACUGGAUCCUGCUUGAUUUGUGCUGACUCCAGCAGAGGGAGCCCGGCUGCAAAGAAUGACCUGUCUCUGCCGCUCACAAAGCCUAGGGGAGCCAGUGCCGUAUCUCGUUCAGGUUUAAACAAGCACCCAGCUGUGCUACAGGCUUAUGUUGGGCCAGAGCCUGGUCUCAGCUGCACCAGAAUAAAUCCAUUGACUUCAGGAGUUAAUCUGGAUUCACAUCCGUGGACCAGGCUAGACUCCAGCCUGUGCAGCUCAU